This 829-nucleotide ribosomal RNA is filed under the name Sellanucheza hoffmani. RNAcentral describes it as "SSU rRNA". It matches the Rfam family "Eukaryotic small subunit ribosomal RNA", at positions 77 to 890 of the family's 1831-position model. The record is from RNAcentral. Lineage: Eukaryota; Metazoa; Arthropoda; Diplopoda; Polydesmida; Paradoxosomatidae.
UAAGGUGAAACCGCGAAUGGCUCAUUAAAUCAGUCAUGGUUCCUUAGAACAUACCAUCCUUCUUGGAUAACUGUGGUAAUUCUAGAGCUAAUACAUGCAACAGAGCUCCGACCCUUGUGGAACGAGCGCUUUUAUUAGACCAAAGACCAAUCGGAGCUUCGGCCCCGUCAGUCUGUGGUGACUCUGGAUAACUUUUAGCGGAUCGCACGGUCAUCGUGCCGGCGACUCCUCUUUCAAAUGUCUGCCUUAUCAACUUUCGAUGGUAGGUUAAUUGCCUACCAUGGUUGUAACGGGUGACGGGGAAUCAGGGUUCGAUUCCGGAGAGGGAGCCUGAGAAACGGCUACCACAUCCAAGGAAGGCAGCAGGCACGCAAAUUACCCACUCCCAGUACGGGGAGGUAGUGACGAAAAAUAACAAUGCGGGACUCUUACGAGGCCCCGUAAUUGGAAUGAGUCCACUUUAAAUCCUUUAACGAGGACCUAUUGGAGGGCAAGUCUGGUGCCAGCAGCCGCGGUAAUUCCAGCUCCAAUAGCGUAUACUAAAGUUGUUGCGGUUAAAAAGCUCGUAGUUGGAUGUCAGUUGCGGGCGGGCGGUCCACCGUUUUGGUGGUUUACUGCUCGUCCCGCGACCUACUGGCCGGCCUCCCCCGCUAUGCUCUUCACCGGGUGUGGCGGGUGGCCGGAAAGUUUACUUUGAAAAAAUUAGAGUGCUCUAAGCAGGUGCUUGCCGCCUGAAUAACACAGCAUGGAAUAAUGGAAUAGGACCUCGGUUCUAUUUUGUUGGUUUUCGGAAUUCCGAGGUAAUGAUUAAUAGGGACAGACGGGGGCA